GACGAACGCUGGCGGCGUGCCUAAUACAUGCAAGUAGAACGCUGAAGAGAGGAGCUUGCUCUUCUUGGAUGAGUUGCGAACGGGUGAGUAACGCGUAGGUAACCUGCCUUGUAGCGGGGGAUAACUAUUGGAAACGAUAGCUAAUACCGCAUAACAAUGGAUGACACAUGUCAUUUAUUUGAAAGGGGCAAUUGCUCCACUACAAGAUGGACCUGCGUUGUAUUAGCUAGUAGGUGAGGGAAUGGCUCACCUAGGCGACGAUACAUAGCCGACCUGAGAGGGUGGACGGCCCCACUGGGACUUGGACACGGCCCAGACUCCUACGGGAGGCAGCAGUAGGGGAUCUUCGGCCAUUGGGGCAACCCUGACCGAGCAACGCCGCGGGAGUGAAGAAGGUUUUCGGGUCGCAAAGCUCUGUUGUAAGUCAAGAACGGGUGUGAGAGUGGAAAGUUCACACUGUGACGGUAGCUUACCAGAAAGGGACGGCUAACUACGUG
RNAcentral lists this ribosomal RNA (497 nucleotides) under uncultured bacterium. RNAcentral's name for it is "partial 16S ribosomal RNA". It matches the Rfam family "Bacterial small subunit ribosomal RNA", at positions 28 to 507 of the family's 1533-position model. The record is from RNAcentral.